GCGAGAAAACUUUGCAAUGUGCGAAAGCACGACAAGGUUAAUCCGAGUGGUUCCUGCUAAAGGAAUCUUUUGUUAGUCGUAGAACCACUAUCGAAUAAGGGGUGGGCAAGUUCUGGUGUCAGCCGCCGCGGUAAAACCAGCACCUCAAGUGGUCAGGAGGAUUAUUGGGCCUAAAGCAUCCGUAGCCUGUUUUGUAAGUCUUCGGUCAAAUCCACAUGCUUAACAUGUGGGCUGCCGGAGAUACUGCAAAACUAGGGAGUGGGAGAGGUAGACGGUACUUGAUAGGAAGGGGUAAAAUCCUUUGAUCUAUUGAUGACCACCUGUGGCGAAGGCGGUCUACCAGAACACGUUCGACGGUGAGGGAUGAAAGCUGGGGGAGCAAACCGG
RNAcentral lists this ribosomal RNA (387 nucleotides) under uncultured bacterium. Its description in RNAcentral is "bacterial SSU rRNA". It matches the Rfam family "Archaeal small subunit ribosomal RNA", at positions 339 to 727 of the family's 1478-position model. The record is from RNAcentral.